GUUCGGAUUGUAGGCUGCAACUCGCCUACAUGAAGCCGGAAUCGCUAGUAAUCGUGGAUCAGCAUGCCACGGUGAAUACGUUCCCGGGCCUUGUACACACCGCCCGUCACACCACGAGAGUUUGUAACACCCGAAGUCGGUAGGGUAACCUUUAUGGAGCCAGCCGCCGAAGGUGGGACAGAUAAUUGGGGUGAAGUCGUAACAAGGUAGCCGUAUCGGAAGGUGCGGCUGGAUCACCUCCUUUCUAAGGAA
This 252-nucleotide ribosomal RNA is filed under the name Listeria monocytogenes. RNAcentral describes it as "partial 16S ribosomal RNA". It matches the Rfam family "Bacterial small subunit ribosomal RNA", at positions 1291 to 1533 of the family's 1533-position model. The record is from RNAcentral. Lineage: Bacteria; Bacillati; Bacillota; Bacilli; Caryophanales; Listeriaceae.